Molecule: long non-coding RNA, 902 nt
Organism: Lampris incognitus (smalleye Pacific opah)
Lineage: Eukaryota; Metazoa; Chordata; Actinopteri; Lampriformes; Lampridae
Exons: 4
Source: RefSeq, a predicted model, not a curated record
AUCAGAGUGAACGGGGUGGAGCAGAGCACUGCGAAAGAAAAUAAAGAUAUGACCACAGAUUUCCAGUUAGCCAAAAUUGACCAUGUCCUUGUCCAUGGGAUGUCAAUGAGGGAAGCUGGGCAAAGAGUGCAGCCAAAUCUGAGCCAAUUCACAGUAGUCUCGAUAAUCUGGACCUUCAGAGAGGACAAUAGAACUGAGAGACAACCACCUAAUGGAGGCAGAAGACAGCUAUUUUCAGAAGAGCAAGAGAUGGAAAUCAUCAAUAUGGUCAUCGCCGACAAUAUCAUUCGCUUCCAUGAGAUACAAAAGAGAGUUAUUGAGGAUCAGGGAAUAUUCCAAGGCAUUGAUGCAGUCACCAUCUCAACAACUGGCCGCAUUCUUUGACGGGACAGGUUGAGGAUGAAACGGGCCUAUCAUGUUCCUUUCCAAAGGAACUCCAAUAGAGUCAAAGACCAGCGCUCGGAAUAUGUGCAAAGAAUCUUUGAUAUUGAUGCCAGAGACACUUCUCAUCAACUCAUCUUUGUAGAUGAAGCAGGAUUUAGUAAUCUUACAUAAAGGGGGAGGAACAUAAUUGGCCACCGGGCCAUUGUGAAUGUCCCUGGCGAAUGUCCUCCACCGCCAUGUCGCUCUUGGUCCUCACAACACCACGCAUCUGCUGGCUUUACUCGAUGGUCUGAGAAUCUUUGGCCUGACCCAGACCAGAGACGGGAUGCUGAGGCAGAAUACAUGGCAUUUCUUCUUUAUGUACAAACUGUUUUUUUUUCCCCCAUUGGGUUAUAUUGGUAAAUACAUGGACAUUAUUUUACUGUAGUCUACAUUCUUUAUCAGUUGCAUAUUUUUACUGUACAUUUACUUUUUCAGUUUAUUUUACUACUGUACAUUGAAGAAUUACACAUUUUGAA